Molecule: ribosomal RNA, 497 nt
Filed under: uncultured bacterium
Lineage: Bacteria
Description: partial 16S ribosomal RNA
Rfam family: Bacterial small subunit ribosomal RNA
Source: RNAcentral
GACGAACGUUGGCGGCGUGCCUAAUACAUGCAAGUAGAACGCUGAAGAGAGGAGCUUGCUCUUCUUGGAUGAGUUGCGAACGGGUGAGUAACGCGUAGGUAACCUGCCUUGUAGCGGGGGAUAACUAUUGGAAACGAUAGCUAAUACCGCAUAACAAUGGAUGACACAUGUCAUUUAUUUGAAAGGGGCAAUUGCUCCACUACAAGAUGGACCUGCGUUGUAUUAGCUAGUAGGUGAGGUAAUGGCUCACCUAGGCGACGAUACAUAGCCGACCUGAGAGGGUGAUCGGCCACACUGGGACUGAGACACGGCCCAGACUCCUACGGGAGGCAGCAGUAGGGAAUCUUCGGCAAUGGGGGCAACCCUGACCGAGCAACGCCGCGUGAGUGAAGAAGGUUUUCGGAUCGUAAAGCUCUGUUGUAAGUCAAGAACGGGUGUGAGAGUGGAAAGUUCACACUGUGACGGUAGCUUACCAGAAAGGGACGGCUAACUACGUG